UUGAGCCUCGAAUCAGGUAGGGA
RNAcentral lists this ribosomal RNA (23 nucleotides) under Galiella rufa. Its description in RNAcentral is "partial 26S ribosomal RNA". The record is from RNAcentral. Lineage: Eukaryota; Fungi; Ascomycota; Pezizomycetes; Pezizales; Sarcosomataceae.